This 710-nucleotide ribosomal RNA is filed under the name uncultured Serratia sp. RNAcentral describes it as "bacterial SSU rRNA". It matches the Rfam family "Bacterial small subunit ribosomal RNA", at positions 768 to 1478 of the family's 1533-position model. The record is from RNAcentral. Lineage: Bacteria; Pseudomonadati; Pseudomonadota; Gammaproteobacteria; Enterobacterales; Yersiniaceae.
GCGAACGGGAUUAGAUACCCUGGUAGUCCACGCCGUAAACGAUGUCGACUUGGAGGUUGUUCCCUUGAGGAGUGGCUUCCGGAGCUAACGCGUUAAGUCGACCGCCUGGGGAGUACGGCCGCAAGGUUAAAACUCAAAUGAAUUGACGGGGGCCCGCACAAGCGGUGGAGCAUGUGGUUUAAUUCGAUGCAACGCGAAGAACCUUACCUACUCUUGACAUCCAGAGAACUUAGCAGAGAUGCUUUGGUGCCUUCGGGAACUCUGAGACAGGUGCUGCAUGGCUGUCGUCAGCUCGUGUUGUGAAAUGUUGGGUUAAGUCCCGCAACGAGCGCAACCCUUAUCCUUUGUUGCCAGCGGUUAGGCCGGGAACUCAAAGGAGACUGCCAGUGAUAAACUGGAGGAAGGUGGGGAUGACGUCAAGUCAUCAUGGCCCUUACGAGUAGGGCUACACACGUGCUACAAUGGCGCAUACAAAGAGAAGCGACCUCGCGAGAGCAAGCGGACCUCAUAAAGUGCGUCGUAGUCCGGAUUGGAGUCUGCAACUCGACUCCAUGAAGUCGGAAUCGCUAGUAAUCGUAGAUCAGAAUGCUACGGUGAAUACGUUCCCGGGCCUUGUACACACCGCCCGUCACACCAUGGGAGUGGGUUGCAAAAGAAGUAGGUAGCUUAACCUUCGGGAGGGCGCUUACCACUUUGUGAUUCAUGACUGG